UUUCAUUGUUAUUUUGGUUGGCUGUGUUGUGGGAUAAGUGAAUUUUGAUUUUCUGAAUUUGGAAAUGGCCAUAUUACUGAUGCAUGCAGGUUUUUGCCAAAAGUUUUUACUUAUUUCCCACUAUCCUGCAAUUAAUUUCCAAAUGGAUUGGGUGGAUGAAUUACUCCCUGAAACUAGAAUAGUAUACUUGUACUUUAUAAAAGACAGCUGAGUUUUUGAAGGGAUAUAUGUCAUUCUGUAUUCUCUUUUGUCUUGCCUUUAAUGCCACAUCUGGAGUGUACCUACUGUUGGUCUUAGAGGAUUGAUACUUCUAUAGUGUUUCACUUGAAAGCUAGGAAAUAUUUAUCUAUGCUGUUUCACGCUUUCACUUUUAUGCUGAGAGCUAUUUGAAUUUGAUUUGCUUUUAGCUGUUUGAGAAAUAGACAGCCAAAGGUCAUUUUUGGUUGCAAGGUUAUAAAUAAAUUUUGAAGUGUAAAAUCUGAAGAAAGAUUUGCAUAGAAUGGAAAAUUAAUUGCUUGUCUUGUUAGUUAGUUACUUGUUUUUUUUUUUGCUUGUCUUGUUCGAACUAUUCUUACCAGUGCCGAAGUCUAUCACUGAAGUACUAUCAUUCAUUGCCACUAAAGUAGAUCACCGCAAAUGUCUUUGCCACCCUUGCAACUAUUUCACUUCUACUAGUGCUGUCCUCUCUGCCACUGCUGUUGACUAGUCAUCUUCACUGUUACACUGCCAUAAGCAAAAUAAAAGACCAUUUGGGAAGCCUGCCCUUUCUUAUUGCUUUUGCUUUGUAACUGAAACAAGCUCAAGUUGUUAAAUCUCAUUUCCAGAAAGCAUCGAAUGAAAUGUUGCCUAUUUGGCUUUUAAGCCUACUGUUAAGGAUUCCGGGAGGGAAAAGAUAAACUAGUGAUAUGAAGGAUAUGUUUGCAA
Molecule: long non-coding RNA, 924 nt
Organism: Ricinus communis (castor bean)
Lineage: Eukaryota; Viridiplantae; Streptophyta; Magnoliopsida; Malpighiales; Euphorbiaceae
Exons: 2
Source: RefSeq, a predicted model, not a curated record